AAUGCAGAAGUAGUUGUCGCAAAACGGUUUCAACUGACGUAACGCAAUAUAUAAAUAAUUUUGCGGCACGUCUAAGCUUUCUCUUCUCGUUGCCGACUGUCUUGUGUCCACGUUGGGCGAGCACAAGAGAAUAUGACCUUAUUGCUGAAUGUGAUGGAAGAACUAUCCUGCAGGCUGCACUGCCCCUUUAUUACAUGAGGUGCUGGAGAACACCUAAGGCCAGCUGGGUUUCCUCCCUGUGUUGGCCGUCAGUGUUGAUGCUACACCUUGAUGUCACAGCGAUGACAGACACAAGACUCAUAAACUCAUGAACCAGCGGUUUCAAAGCAAAGGAUAGCCUGCUUAUCGUAGGGUCAAGAAGGGCUGGAACAGCAAAGAAUCCUGAAACCGUCCUGGAGACAUUAAAGAGUGUCCGCUGCCUUUCACUAUGCUUUACAGAGAACCAGAGCCUGAACCCCCGAGCAAGCAGACAGUGGCAAGGAAAAACUCCCUUUUAACAGGAAGAAACCUUGAGCAGGACCCGAAGUGGCAGAUCGAUGGAGUAACGAGGGAGCACAACAACCUUGGAGCACAGCUGUCAACACUUUGCAGUCACUCAUUUUGGAAUUGAAUCUGUAUUGGAAAAGACAGAACUUGAUAAAAGUAAUUGUGUGUGUGUGUGUGUGUGUGUGUGUGUGUGUGCUGUCAGAUUGUACCUUGUUCUUUUUCAACAGUACUCUGACAAAUAAACUAUUUGUAACUCCAA
Molecule: long non-coding RNA, 745 nt
Organism: Scatophagus argus
Lineage: Eukaryota; Metazoa; Chordata; Actinopteri; Scatophagidae
Exons: 9
Source: RefSeq, a predicted model, not a curated record